RNAcentral lists this ribosomal RNA (684 nucleotides) under Triticum aestivum (bread wheat). Its description in RNAcentral is "partial small subunit ribosomal RNA". The record is from RNAcentral. Lineage: Eukaryota; Viridiplantae; Streptophyta; Magnoliopsida; Poales; Poaceae.
UUCUGCCGGGUUAUUAACCGGGUUCACCGACUAUAUCCGCAUGGAGUUUUGGGAUCCGGAGGUAUAUAUUGAACUGAGAGGCGUUAAGGGACAGAGGCGGCGGCGUCGAAGGCAGAGGGCCUAAAGCGGCGGCGGCGUCGGCGUCGUCGAGCGGCGGGUGCGGAGGAUGGGCAGCUGCUCUACUGCUUCGCGUGGUUCUUCCGACCUUAACAGCCGUUUAUACCAUGGGCAAUACCACGGUCAAACGCAUUCGUCUAGUUCUUCUACCUCCACAGAGUCGUGAGGUUCAUGAAGACACUCAAGACACCCUUCAAACGACACUUCUCCUUUCGUCAACCUUAAACCCCUACGUUCCUGACACCCUUCCACUUCCGACCGCCACGAAUGUGGUACUUGUGACGGUCACGCCAGUGACAGUCCUCGUGAUAGGCAGCGAACUCCCUCGUCUGACUUCGUAUUCAACGAUGAUCACAAAACAGGAUCACUUAGUAGACCCUAAAACGUCAAAUCUGCUAUGAAACCUAAGUCAAGACAACCGACAAAUCAGUUCCUAAUAGAAACAUGAACCACGCUACUACAAGACAAUACAAUAAGAGAGUGGGAAAAAAACGGACUCUAAAUGACACCUAAGACUAAACGGAAGACGAUAGGCACGAGAUUAUAAACGUGUUCGCUCUACACUGG